UGCAGUCGAGCGAUGAAGUUUUCUUCGGAAAACGGAUUAGCGGCGGACGGGUGAGUAACACGUGGGUAACCUGCCUCAUAGAGUGGAAUAGCCUUUCGAAAGGAAGAUUAAUACCGCAUAACAUUGAGAGAUGGCAUCAUCACUCAAUCAAAGGAGCAAUCCGCUAUGAGAUGGACCCGCGGCGCAUUAGCUAGUUGGUGAGGUAACGGCUCACCAAGGCGACGAUGCGUAGCCGACCUGAGAGGGUGAUCGGCCACAUUGGGACUGAGACACGGCCCAGACUCCUACGGGAGGCAGCAGUGGGGAAUAUUGCACAAUGGGGGAAACCCUGAUGCAGCAACGCCGCGUGAGUGAUGAAGGUUUUCGGAUCGUAAAGCUCUGUCUUUGGGGAAGAUAAUGACGGUACCCAAGGAGGAAGCCACGGCUAACUACGUGCCAGCAGCCGCGGUAAUACGUAGGUGGCGAGCGUUAUCCGGAUUUACUGGGCGUAAAGGGAGCGUAGGCGGACAAUUAAGUGGGAUGUGAAAUACCCGGGCUCAACCUGGGUGCUGCAUUCCAAACUGGUUGUCUAGAGUGCAGGAGAGGAGAGUGGAAUUCCUAGUUG
Molecule: ribosomal RNA, 604 nt
Filed under: uncultured bacterium
Lineage: Bacteria
Description: bacterial SSU rRNA
Rfam family: Bacterial small subunit ribosomal RNA
Source: RNAcentral